CAUUGCAUGAUGAGAAAUCUUUUUAUUAUGAACAGUUAUCCCUGUCUGAAUGGGGUGUGGUACCCCGCAGCGUGUCGAUACAAACUUACUCUGAGCCAAUG
RNAcentral lists this small nucleolar RNA (101 nucleotides) under Lachancea mirantina. RNAcentral describes it as "Small nucleolar RNA R38". It matches the Rfam family "Small nucleolar RNA R38". Rfam says of the family: snoR38 is a C/D box small nucleolar RNA conserved across yeast, human, Arabidopsis and rice. It is encoded in the intron of elongation factor-1 gamma in both pombe and cerevisiae. snoR38 guides the methylation of 2'-O-ribose sites in 28S rRNA. The record is from Rfam by way of RNAcentral. Lineage: Eukaryota; Fungi; Ascomycota; Saccharomycetes; Saccharomycetales; Saccharomycetaceae.